GUCGUGUGUUAGCUCAUGAGGUUAAAAUGACAUUAGAACUUUUGUGAAAAAAUGAGGUUCGACUCUGUUCUUAUAUUAAUGAUAUUCAAGGUCAGGGAUAUGGAAAGAAAGCAGGUCACUCAAUGUUCUUUCUUGAGAAUAUUUUUGUUCCACCAAUCAAAUUCCGCCCUCCCACUAAAGGAGGUGAUAUGGUAUCGGAGCAUGCUCAUACUGUUUUGUUGAGUAAGAUUCUGCAGUCUAACAUAAGAUUAGGGGAUGUCCAUCUAAACAAGAAGGAUCCCUCGAUGGUUUUAGCCAGGUGGGUGGAACUUCAGUAAUCUGUAAAUAUGCUCUUUACCAGUAACACUUUUGGAUAAUAUUGAGGAUGAUAAUGAAGAUUAAGCUAUUUAUCAUUGUAGUUUAUUGGCUAAGAUAGAGUAGUGUUGGAAAUGGAUACAUGUAUGAUUGACUAACGACUUUUAUUAGAAGAUACUUAUGUAGGAUAUAAUAUUUUAGUUUUUCGUAGAGUAUUACUAGUAAAUUCUAAGUGGUCUCAUGCUUAUUUUGAUAUGGCUAUGCUUAAUUUAGUGUGAAAUGUAUGAAUAU
This is a non-coding RNA of Arachis ipaensis, 585 nucleotides long. NCBI's taxonomy places the organism in Eukaryota, Viridiplantae, Streptophyta, Magnoliopsida, Fabales, Fabaceae. The record is from RefSeq and is a predicted model, not a curated record.